This 531-nucleotide long non-coding RNA is filed under the name Mytilus galloprovincialis (Mediterranean mussel). Lineage: Eukaryota; Metazoa; Mollusca; Bivalvia; Mytilida; Mytilidae. The record is from RNAcentral.
AAAACUUUGGUUGGCUUGCUUGCUUUGUUUGUAUAGUUGUUUAUACAAGCUUUGAAAAUAAGAUUGACAUCUUUAAACAAUAUAUAUAUAUAUAUAGGUAUAGUUUAACUUGUAUAUUUUAUAUUUUGUACAAUAUACAAACAAAGCAAGCAAGCUAACCAAAGUUUUGCUCCACAUGCAUUAGAAAAUAAGCUAUAAUGAUUUUAUCCAUAUGUAUUUGCGACAAGGUGGAAAAUUUGAUAUGUUUUGUGAAAAUUGCAGCGUUGGAUCUAUAAUAAAAAAGAAGAUGUGGUAUGAUUGCCAAUGAAACAGCUGUCCACAAGAGACCAAAAUGACACAGAAAUUAACAUUUAUAGAUCACCGUACGGCCUUCAACAAUGAGCAAAGCCCAUAUCACAUAGUCAGCUAUAAAAGGCCCCGCCCAUGACAAUGUAAAACAAUUCAAACGAGAAAACUAACGGACCUUAAUUACAUGUAUAUAAAAAAAAAUUAACGAAAAACAAAUAUGUUACACAUAAACAAACGACAACC